GAUGAAGAACGUAGCGAAAUGCGACAAGUAAUGUGAAUUGCAGAAUUCCGUGAAUCAUCGAAUCUUUGAACGCACAUUGCGCCCGCCAGUAUUCUGGCGGGCAUGCCUGUCUGAGCGUCAUUUCAACCCUCAUGCCCCUAGGGCGUGGUGUUGGGGAUCGGCCAAAGCCCGCGAGGGACGGCCGGCCCCUAAAUCUAGUGGCGGACCCGUCGUGGCCUCCUCUGCGAAGUAGUGAUAUUCCGCAUCGGAGAGCGAUGAGCCCCUGCCGUUAAACCCCCAACUUUCCAAGGUUGACCUCAGAUCAGGUAGGAAUACCCGCUGAACUUAAGCAUAUCAAUAAGCGGAGGA
Molecule: unclassified non-coding RNA, 348 nt
Filed under: soil metagenome
Description: partial contains 5.8S ribosomal RNA, internal transcribed spacer 2, and large subunit ribosomal RNA
Rfam family: 5.8S ribosomal RNA (bases 1-120)
Source: RNAcentral